Vespa crabro (European hornet) is the source of this 1519-nucleotide long non-coding RNA. RefSeq lists it as uncharacterized. The transcript has 4 exons. NCBI's taxonomy places the organism in Eukaryota, Metazoa, Arthropoda, Insecta, Hymenoptera, Vespidae. The record is from RefSeq and is a predicted model, not a curated record.
AAAAUUCAAUUUCUACCCUAAUAGAUAUAUCAGUUGAAAUCGAAACGUGAGAGAAGUCGGUCGUAAGAAAUCUUUUAUGUUCUAACGUAAUUUUAUAAAUUUUUCUCAUGUCCACCAUAAUGGCGUAGCAUCUUUUCUUUAUUACAUUGUUUUAAAAACCAACGAUAUAUAAUAGACUUUCGAAGAAUCAACUAUGUAUGGAGGCAAAGGGCGAAGUUUCUUGGCAUAAAAGUAUAUAAGGACAAUACGAACUUCUUUACUUCUUUCAUACAACACCGUCCAACAACACCUCCCCAACCUCCCUAUCUCGCUUACCAUCAACAUUCUCUUGCAUUAAGUGUGACUUUUGGACUGAUACACUCGUUUAUCUAACACCGCAUCCAGUUACCUUGUAUAUCUUCAUGAAUCGUAUUUAUAUCCACGCACACGUGAAUGCACGAGAAGAGAGAGAGAGAGAGAGAGGCAGAGGGAAAUUUAAACAGGACUUUUGAAACUCGUUGCACACACUGAUGCUCGACAUGACGAAUUAGAAUCUGCUUCUAUUGCGAAACGUGAGUGUAUGUAUAUGGUAUCUACAUGGAUAUCUAACAGUAAGGAAGGUCAACCACGACAAAGAGAAAUACGACCGACAUAUUAUUUUUGAAGGACCUUCUUUCUUAAUCUACACGUUUUUAUUUUUAUCGUCUUGAAACUGGCUCUGUCUCGCAAAAUUCAGUGUAAAUAUCAGCUUUCGUUAAGAAAAAAAAAAAAGAAAAGACAAAAAAAGAACAAAAAGAAACAAAAAUAUAAUCGAAUAAAAGAGAAAAACUCCAAACGACAGACAAUUCACGCAACAUUAAAUAAAAAAGAAUAUCUUUUAUAUAUAUAUACAUAUACAUAUUUUAUUUAUAUAUUUAUAUAUUUAUAUAUUUAUAUAUAUAUAUAUAUGUAAAGUUAAUUUCGUCAAUUAUUCAAAACGAUAUUCAGGCUCGAAGUAAAAUUAUUUUCCAUUCCUUUUUCUUUUUUCUGUUUUCUUUUCUUUUUUCUUUUUUUUUUUUUUUUUCUACUCCGAGACGAUCAUUUUUUCCCGAUGAAACUUACAUUCUAUUUAUUUUUCUUCGCGUGCGUUCUUUUACUCUCACGUACAUUGUUCGUCUAUUUUAUAUUUUGCUUUAUUAUGGUUAAUAUUUUUAUGACCAUCUUCGCUGAAGUAUUCGUAGUUCCAAAAAAAAAGAAACGGAGGAAGAUAAAACCUCGAUAAACUUUUUUUCUUAUAUUAUAAUAAAUAUACGAAAAUGUUUCCUAUCGAAACUUCGAGCGGAAAUGUUAGCAGACAAAUAAGAAUAUCGAUAGGGGACGAUGACGACAACAAGAACGACGACGACGACGACAGAUCAUCCGUAAAAGGAAAGUCGAGAAGAAUAAGAGACCCUUUUUCCUUUGGAGCUUUGUCGGGCAUAUAAGUGUCAAGAAAAAGAUGACGAUACAUAAUAAAAAGUAUUAUGGACAUUGAAAUGUUCAUACUUCCGUUUAACAUCUA